This 253-nucleotide ribosomal RNA is filed under the name uncultured bacterium. Its description in RNAcentral is "partial 16S ribosomal RNA". It matches the Rfam family "Bacterial small subunit ribosomal RNA", at positions 524 to 776 of the family's 1533-position model. The record is from RNAcentral.
UACGUAGGUGGCAAGCGUUGUCCGGAUUUAUUGGGUUUAAAGGGUGCGUAGGCGGUCCUAUAAGUCAGUGGUGAAAUACGGCAGCUCAACUGUCGAGGUGCCAUUGAUACUGUAGGACUUGAGUACAGACGAGGUAGGCGGAAUUGACGGUGUAGCGGUGAAAUGCUUAGAUAUCGUCAAGAACACCGAUAGCGAAGGCAGCUUACUAGACUGUAACUGACGCUGAGGCACGAAAGUGUGGGGAUCAAACAGG